Molecule: ribosomal RNA, 460 nt
Filed under: uncultured bacterium
Lineage: Bacteria
Description: partial 16S ribosomal RNA
Rfam family: Bacterial small subunit ribosomal RNA
Source: RNAcentral
CCUACGGGAGGCUGCAGUGAGGAAUAUUGGUCAAUGGACGAGAGUCUGAACCAGCCAAGUAGCGUGAAGGAUGACUGCCCUAUGGGUUGUAAACUUCUUUUAUAAAGGAAUAAAACGAGGCACGUGUGCCCUUUUGCAUGUACUUUAUGAAUAAGGACCGGCUAACUCCGUGCCAGCAGCCGCGGUAAUACGGAGGGUCCGAGCGUUAUCCGGAUUUUUUGGGUUUAAAGGGAGCGUAGAUGGGUUUUUAAGGCAGUUGUGAAAGUUUGCGGCUCAACCGUAAAAUUGCAAUUGAUACUGGCAGUCUUGAGUGCAGGUGAGGUAGGCGGAAUGCGUGGUGUAGCGGUGAAAUGCUUAGAUAUCACGAAGAACCCCGAUUGCGAAGGCAGCUUACUAAACUGUGACUGACAUUGAUGCUCGAAAGUGUGGGUAUCAAACAGGAUUAGAUACCCUAGUAGUC